Molecule: ribosomal RNA, 1352 nt
Filed under: uncultured bacterium
Lineage: Bacteria
Description: bacterial SSU rRNA
Rfam family: Bacterial small subunit ribosomal RNA
Source: RNAcentral
AUUGAACGCUGGCGGCAUGCCUUACACAUGCAAGUCGAACGGCAGCACGGAGCUUGCUCUGGUGGCGAGUGGCGAACGGGUGAGUAAUAUAUCGGAACGUACCCUAGAGUGGGGGAUAACGUAGCGAAAGUUACGCUAAUACCGCAUACGAUCUAAGGAUGAAAGUGGGGGAUCGCAAGACCUCAUGCUCGUGGAGCGGCCGAUAUCUGAUUAGCUAGUUGGUAGGGUAAAAGCCUACCAAGGCAUCGAUCAGUAGCUGGUCUGAGAGGACGACCAGCCACACUGGAACUGAGACACGGUCCAGACUCCUACGGGAGGCAGCAGUGGGGAAUUUUGGACAAUGGGCGAAAGCCUGAUCCAGCAAUGCCGCGUGAGUGAAGAAGGCCUUCGGGUUGUAAAGCUCUUUUGUCAGGGAAGAAACGGUGAAAGCUAAUAUCUUUUGCUAAUGACGGUACCUGAAGAAUAAGCACCGGCUAACUACGUGCCAGCAGCCGCGGUAAUACGUAGGGUGCAAGCGUUAAUCGGAAUUACUGGGCGUAAAGCGUGCGCAGGCGGUUUUGUAAGUCUGAUGUGAAAUCCCCGGGCUCAACCUGGGAAUUGCAUUGGAGACUGCAAGGCUAGAAUCUGGCAGAGGGGGGUAGAAUUCCACGUGUAGCAGUGAAAUGCGUAGAUAUGUGGAGGAACACCGAUGGCGAAGGCAGCCCCCUGGGUCAAGAUUGACGCUCAUGCACGAAAGCGUGGGGAGCAAACAGGAUUAGAUACCCUGGUAGUCCACGCCCUAAACGAUGUCUACUAGUUGUCGGGUCUUAAUUGACUUGGUAACGCAGCUAACGCGUGAAGUAGACCGCCUGGGGAGUACGGUCGCAAGAUUAAAACUCAAAGGAAUUGACGGGGACCCGCACGAGCGGUGGAUGAUGUGGAUUAAUUCGAUGCAACGCGAAAAACCUUACCUACCCUUGACAUGGCUGGAAUCCUUGAGAGAUCAGGGAGUGCUCGAAAGAGAACCAGUACACAGGUGCUGCAUGGCUGUCGUCAGCUCGUGUCGUGAGAUGUUGGGUUAAGUCCCGCAACGAGCGCAACCCUUGUCAUUAGUUGCUACGAAAGGGCACUCUAAUGAGACUGCCGGUGACAAACCGGAGGAAGGUGGGGAUGACGUCAAGUCCUCAUGGCCCUUAUGGGUAGGGCUUCACACGUCAUACAAUGGUACAUACAGAGCGCCGCCAACCCGCGAGGGGGAGCUAGUCGCAGAAAGUGUAUCGUAGUCCGGAUUGUAGUCUGCAACUCGACUGCAUGAAGUUGGAAUCGCUAGUAAUCGCGGAUCGGCAUGUCGCGGUGAAUACGUUCCCGGGUCU